RNAcentral lists this ribosomal RNA (1436 nucleotides) under uncultured organism. RNAcentral's name for it is "partial small subunit ribosomal RNA". It matches the Rfam family "Bacterial small subunit ribosomal RNA". The record is from RNAcentral.
UUGCGGCGUGCUUAACACAUGCAAGUCGAACGGAAAGGCCCUGCUUUUGUGGGGUGCUCGAGUGGCGAACGGGUGAGUAACACGUGAGUAACCUGCCCUUGACUUUGGGAUAACUUCAGGAAACUGGGGCUAAUACCGGAUAGGAGCUCCUGCUGCAUGGUGGGGGUUGGAAAGUUUCGGCGGUUGGGGAUGGACUCGCGGCUUAUCAGCUUGUUGGUGGGGUAGUGGCUUACCAAGGCUUUGACGGGUAGCCGGCCUGAGAGGGUGACCGGCCACAUUGGGACUGAGAUACGGCCCAGACUCCUACGGGAGGCAGCAGUGGGGAAUAUUGCACAAUGGGCGGAAGCCUGAUGCAGCAACGCCGCGUGCGGGAUGACGGCCUUCGGGUUGUAAACCGCUUUCGCCUGUGACGAAGCGUGAGUGACGGUAAUGGGUAAAGAAGCACCGGCUAACUACGUGCCAGCAGCCGCGGUGAUACGUAGGGUGCGAGCGUUGUCCGGAUUUAUUGGGCGUAAAGGGCUCGUAGGUGGUUGAUCGCGUCGGAAGUGUAAUCUUGGGGCUUAACCCUGAGCGUGCUUUCGAUACGGGUUGACUUGAGGAAGGUAGGGGAGAAUGGAAUUCCUGGUGGAGCGGUGGAAUGCGCAGAUAUCAGGAGGAACACCAGUGGCGAAGGCGGUUCUCUGGGCCUUUCCUGACGCUGAGGAGCGAGAGCGUGGGGAGCGAACAGGCUUAGAUACCCUGGUAGUCCACGCUGUAAACGGUGGGUACUAGGUGUGGGGUCCAUUCCACGGGUUCCGUGCCGUAGCUAACGCUUUAAGUACCCCGCCUGGGGAGUACGGCCGCAAGGCUAAAACUCAAAGGAAUUGACGGGGCCCCGCACAAGCGGCGGAGCAUGCGGAUUAAUUCGAUGCAACGCGUAGAACCUUACCUGGGUUUGACAUGGAUCGGGAGUGCUCAGAGAUGGGUGUGCCUCUUUUGGGGUCGGUUCACAGGUGGUGCAUGGCUGUCGUCAGCUCGUGUCGUGAGAUGUUGGGUUAAGUCCCGCAACGAGCGCAACCCUUGUUCACUGUUGCCAGCACGUUAUGGUGGGGACUCAGUGGAGACCGCCGGGGUCAACUCGGAGGAAGGUGGGGAUGACGUCAAGUCAUCAUGCCCCUUAUGUCCAGGGCUUCACGCAUGCUACAAUGGCUGGUACAGAGAGUGGCGAGCCUGUGAGGGUGAGCGAAUCUCGGAAAGCCGGUCUCAGUUCGGAUUGGGGUCUGCAACUCGACCUCAUGAAGUCGGAGUCGCUAGUAAUCGCAGAUCAGCAACGCUGCGGUGAAUACGUUCCCGGGGCUUGUACACACCGCCCGUCAAGUCAUGAAAGUUGGUAACACCCGAAGCCGGUGGCCUAACCGUUGUGGGGGAGCCGUCGAAGGUGGGACUGGUGAUUAGGA